AUAUCUUUCUUGACCUGUUGGCCAAGAUAAAAUGUAGUAUCUGUUUUUAUCAGUUUAAUAUCUGAUAUACGGGCUAUCGGCUCACACAAUAUUAACUCUAUCAUAUUUU
Molecule: small nuclear RNA, 109 nt
Filed under: Eutrema salsugineum
Lineage: Eukaryota; Viridiplantae; Streptophyta; Magnoliopsida; Brassicales; Brassicaceae
Description: U2 spliceosomal RNA
Rfam family: U2 spliceosomal RNA
About the family: U2 is a small nuclear RNA (snRNA) component of the spliceosome (involved in pre-mRNA splicing). Complementary binding between U2 snRNA (in an area lying towards the 5' end but 3' to hairpin I) and the branchpoint sequence (BPS) of the intron results the bulging out of an unpaired adenosine, on the BPS, which initiates a nucleophilic attack at the intronic 5' splice site, thus starting the first of two transesterification reactions that mediate splicing.
Source: Rfam by way of RNAcentral